AUUACUAGAUAGUCAGAUAUUUACGUGAUAACACAGUGUUCAAUUAUGGACGAAUCUUAAAAUUUUCAUCAGAUAUGCAUUUUAUACUUCCUUUACACCACUUAAGUAAAGUUUCAAUACGUGCAAAAUGUUUAUAGUGUUUUGCACUUUCUGUUCUGAUUUCAAUUUUGUUUCAGGUUUAAUUCGAGUGUUCUUUGGAAUAUUGAAAUUUCAUUAUUUGAACAUUUGACAGAUAUAUGUCGUUAUUGUUUUACCUUCAAAGCAGCACUUGUAAUACCGUUGAAUAUGCCAAAAACAAUAAAAGAAAUCAUUAUGGAGGAUUUCCUCACCUGCAGUAUAUGUAUGGGGGAAUUUAAAGAUCCGAAAGUACUGAUCUGUCUCCAUACGUUUUGUGAAGAGUGUAUAUGUACCACAAUACAACAUCAACUUCGGACGUCACGGAGACGGCGGAUUUCGUGUCCUACAUGCCGAACUGUGAUGACAAUUGACCUCAACAGUGACGAUUAUAAUCUUCUAACUAACUUUCCAGUCAAGAAUUUACUGGAAAUGAUCAAGGUAAAUGAGCAACUGUUUAGUUAAGAUUUUAUCUGAAUGCUGAAAAUUUUCAGAACGACAGUCAACUGUGUUCUAUAUCCUGUUAGAAUAACUUUUGCUGUUAGUCCGUGUUAUACUGCCUCUGUUAUUCCCUGCGGUCUGGAGACCGCAGGGUAUUGGUACGCGUUUAACUUUUGAGGCAUGGAGGAGCACGUGACCUGUUUUCGGUACAUGGAGGAGCAUGUUAUCUGUAAACCGUACAUGAUUGGUUAACUGACCUUUUCGAAAAUCUAGCUAAAUACCGUUUGUCGGUACGUUUCGGAUUUACCUCUAGGGAUUUAAUUCACUCCGAAUUACACCUAAUGAAGAU
RNA transcript from Ruditapes philippinarum (Manila clam), 904 nucleotides. It is a transcript of the gene named tripartite motif-containing protein 59-like, with no coding region annotated. Lineage: Eukaryota; Metazoa; Mollusca; Bivalvia; Venerida; Veneridae. The record is from RefSeq and is a predicted model, not a curated record. The transcript has 2 exons.